AGAGUUUGAUCAUGGCUCAGGACGAACGCUGGCGGCGUGCUUAAUACAUGCAAGUCGAACGGGAAGGCCCUGCUUUUGUGGGGUGCUCGAGUGGCGAACGGGUGAGUAACACGUGAGUAACCUGCCCUUGACUUUGGGAUAACUUCAGGAAACUGGGGCUAAUACCGGAUAGGAGCUCCUGCUGCAUGGUGGGGGUUGGAAAGUUUCGGCGGUUGGGGAUGGACUCGCGGCUUAUCAGCUUGUUGGUGGGGUAGUGGCUUACCAAGGCUUUGACGGGUAGCCGGCCUGAGAGGGUGACCGGCCACAUUGGGACUGAGAUACGGCCCAGACUCCUACGGGAGGCAGCAGUGGGGAAUAUUGCACAAUGGGCGGAAGCCUGAUGCAGCAACGCCGCGUGCGGGAUGACGGCCUUCGGGUUGUAAACCGCUUUCGCCUGUGACGAAGCGUGAGUGACGGUAAUGGGUAAAGAAGCACCGGCUAACUACGUGCCAGCAGCCGCGGUAAU
This 505-nucleotide ribosomal RNA is filed under the name uncultured bacterium. Its description in RNAcentral is "bacterial SSU rRNA". It matches the Rfam family "Bacterial small subunit ribosomal RNA", at positions 8 to 524 of the family's 1533-position model. The record is from RNAcentral.